UCGCGAGUUUUUGAAGGAUCUGCAAUUUCAUUUUAGCUUGUGAACAUAGAUCAAAAUGGCGACUCGAUAGAAAGAUACACUGCGGCUCAUCUAUACCUUAAGGUUGGCAAACUAGUAAGUUACCUCGGAUCCGGUGAAACUUGAAAAGGCGCGCUCGGUCAUUUCCGGUGCGACAUUUUAAAAGACCCGCGCUUGGUUUUGAAGCAGCGCGCCAAUGCGCAUGCUAACUGUUGAGGCCCGAAUAUCACCAACUCCUUUCAUUGGUCGAUUUCAAAUUCUGAUCGAAGUCGUUUGUUUGUUUUUGAAAUUUUGAUUCAAUCGUUGAUAACAAAGCUUUUUCCUUUCAGUUUGUACUAACUUUCGUUCUAUUAUUUCGCCGUUAUCAGUUUUAUCUUACUUUUACACUGAUUGAAGGCACAGCCUGUUCUUGGAACCGGUAAGUAUUUGUUUCUUAUCAUAGCCCACACCUAAGAUUAGAUCAACAAGUAGUCGAAAAUCCAUCCGAGUCAACCAUCCUUCACAUUCAAUUCUCAGUGUAGCACCCAAUCUUUUUUAAAUAUCCGACCGUUUUACUUUUAUCGUUCUCUUUAAAAAGCCAGUUGGUUCAUGCAACACGUCAUACGUCAUUAAGUAUAAUUAAAAAUGUUAUUGAUGGUGAUCAACUGAAAGAAACUUGGAACUCAACAUGUGUGCUCCUUGCACAGUGUUACCCUGAAAUAAGAUCUAUUGCAUCUGCGCUAAUGUCACUUACUGGAAAAUCAUUCGAAUACUAGAUUAACAAUACCAAAAAUUGAUAUGGCAUCAGCUAGUCAAAUCGAUAGUGACGAGGAGGAUGUAUUCUGGGGGCCAGUGACUAUGAAAGAAAUUAAAGUUACUUUCAAGAAAGAGCUAGAAGAAUUGAAUCGUCGACGGUCUGCAGAAGUGAAAAAGACUGAUGCAGACAUAAACAACGGAACAUCGUAUUCUUUACCAAAAAGGCUUGAAGAUGAUCAUGUCUCUCCAGUGUCGCACGAAUCAACUUUUUUGAAUACACAAAGGAGCCACCCUCAAUCCAACGGUCACAUCAUCACCAAUUACGGUGAUCCGCAGCCAGAGGAAGAGACCUGUUUUGCCUCUACACCACAAAAAUUAGUCAAUACUUCAGGUAAUGGUACCUCUCAGGAUAACAAAGAAAGCACCUUCAACUCCUCCAGUAUGACACCGAUCUCGUCUCCCAUAAAAGAAAACUGCUCUUCAACUUACACGACUCCAUCGUUGGCGUCUCAGUCUCGUAAUGAUUUUGAUUCUUCUUUUGCGUCAGUGGCAUCCUCUUUUAUUGAUGAGUCAGACUCCCCUGCUCUAGAGGUUGCGUCAGAAAGUUUUGAAAAAGUCGAUCCAAAACGUUAUGAUGCCCGGAGUAUGAACAUUCCUGAUGUAAUUGGAAGUCACAUACAAUCCUCUGUCUCUCCAUUGUUGAGUAUCACUGAAAAGUUGAACCUUCAACCAUCCGAGAAAAAUUCACCUGAGAACAUUCUUCAAGGUAUUGAUUCUAUCUCAAAUAACUCACCGGUCCCAGUGAAAGGUGUGCUUCCAACUCCUAUCAUAGAAUCAAAAAUUGAUAAAAUGUCUACUUCCUCUGCAUCUCUGACAACUGGCAACAAGGUCUCUCAAAUGAAUGGUGUUCAGAAUAUAACUUCAGAUUGCAACUUGUCAGAUAGCUCUGAUAAAGGGAAUCAUCUCAGUCCUAAAAAAGAGCUCAUUCUAGGCGGGGGAACUGCUCCACAGAAAUUUAAGUCCGAAGAUAGUCAAUGUGUUCCUUGCUCUGCAGAAGAAAAAUUUUUGAAUGAGAAUGGUCUGUCCAAAGUUGCCAAAAGUCGCGAUUUGAAAAUGAGCUCUGGAUCAGAUUCGCCUGCUUCUCUAAAAUUUCAAGCAACUGAUUCUCCUUUGAAACCAUUUAAUAUUUCACAAUUUACUGAGGCAGAUUUAUCAGAUGUAUCUCCACCAAAUUUCUCUGUUUUUGAUGAUUCUGUCAUGUCUGUCAAUCAGACCCAGCUUCCGACUUUAUCUAAAUUGAAAAGAACUUCUGAAGUACCCAGCAGGAAGUUAGCAGGAAGCAAUUUACCUAGAUUUGGACUAAAACCGCCUCAGAAGAAGAGUAUUGUCAAUAUAUCAGCGCCAAAAGCAUCUGUAGAACAGAAAAAUACAAAUAACUUUUCCAACCAUUUAACUUCCCCGAAAGCUUCUACGAGUCCCAAGGUAUUAAGAAACCUUGGGACUCAGAUUCCACCUAUUGUUGAUACUAAGACUGGGCUCAACCAGUGCUUACCAUGUGGUGAAAAGACACCACAAAAAAGCAUCUCAACUUCAGGAAAGAAAGAAAAGUUUUUUAAAACGCCUCCAUCAAUCAAGUAUUCAAACUCCAAACUCAAACAAGCGUUCGGAAAAACUAGUCCUUUCAACCCAAAAUUCGAUCGCUUGUCUCCCUCUAGUGUGCUCAUGUCGACACCAUCUUUCUCUGAGUCUAUCGUGAAAAAAAAUGGAACCUGUGAAAAAGUGGUUUCGGAACCAAAGAAAAAAUUUUUCUCAGGACCUCACUCCCUCAACUUAUCCUCUGGACCAGUGAGAGUCGAAACACCAAAGAUCAUCUCGCCCAAGUCAAACAGCAACAGCAAUACUUUCAAGCCUCACAGAUUUGCUAAAAAUGACACGCUUUCCUCUGAGCGCAACAAUUCUACUGUGCACUCAAAGAUACCAGCAGCAUCUAUCCCCAGGUUUUUCCCUAGAAAUGUGAACAUUACGCCAUCCUAUCAAGAAAAUUUAUCUAAUUGCUCUCUCAAAUCUGAGAAUUUGGAGAUCUCUGUUGCUGCUUACAGUAGUGACUUAUCUUUGCCUCUUUCUGAAGCCUCAUUUAGUAGCAGCAACACUGUAAAAACUUUUGGUCUUGCUAAAAGUAACACACUCUCUUCAGAGCGUAGCAAUACUUCAGUGCGCUCAAAAAUACCAUCAGCCUCUAUUCCUAAAUUUUUCCCCAAAGUCGUAACCAACACACAUCCAAAUCAAGAAAAUUUGCCUAACAGCACUCCUAAAUCAGAAGAUUUGGAAAAGUCUGUUGCCUUUUACAGCAGUGAUUCGUCUCUCCCACUCUCUGAUGCUUCUUUCAAUAGCUCUGCCAAUUCAAACAAAUCUCGUAUUGGUGGGAUACCAAAACCCAAGUUUUUUGCGGACCCUCCAAAAAAACAACCAACAACUCGAUUACCACGCUGAAUGACUUAUCAAGAAUCCCUAAAGUUAGUGCUACUAAUUAUUUCCAAAAAAAUAGCAAGUAAAGGAACUUCUAAGGCCUCUAAGUUGAACCUCUUUUUUCUUUGAUCACUGGAAUAUUUUUAACUUCAUUUAGUGUAGCUGCAAGUCGCAGCGAUUUUAUGUACCCACGACCAUAAUUUUAAUUGUCUCAUUCCCUAUUUUUCUGAGCAUGUAAGCACAUUCGACCUCAUGUAAUAUAGAUUUUAAGUACUUAAUCCGCAAGAUUUUGUGGACCGUUUGGUCAUCAAUUAUAAUUUUACAUCAGAACAAAGAGUUUUCAAGUAUCUUUACUUAUUUUUAUGAAAUCUCAUCUUUCUCUUUUAUAGCAAGUAAAGGAACUUCCAAUGCCUCUCUCUGUCUCUUCUUCCUAUCAUACCUUGCAUUACAGUAGGAUAGGGGUGCAUUAAAUUUUUCAGAAAUUUUAAAUGAAGAAUGGAUACAAGGUGACAAUUUUUCAUGCAGAAUUCAUCACAAAAAGCCAAUUAGAAGGAAGGGGGGUGAUAUUGUAAAUUUCGUAAUUUUUCAGUGUGUAGACUUGAGUUACGUUGUGGGAGGUCAAGAAACCUGGUCUUCCGUGUUGCGUAUUUGAUGAAAGGCCCUUGAAAGAAAAGUUGAGUAUUGCUCUAAACAAUGUUGUGGUUGAUGUACUGAUCAAAUUUUUGAAAUCUCUGUAUUACCACUGUUUUCUUGCAUGGAAAAUAGGUGGGAGAUGAUGAAUGUUUGUGUUCAGCUUAGAAAUACCAAACGGAGAAAAUUUUGACAAGAAAAUAGUUAGAUUUUAUGUUCUGAAACAAUUAUGACUGUGGUUCCUGUUGCAUCUUUUUUAACUGUUUCAACUUCAGUGAUUCGUCAUGUUUUUAAGUCCUCUUCCGAAGUCUGUCAAGUCAUUGACCUUUGGAAUCAACUUUUAAGCUCUUCAACUCAGAAACUUGUGAAGAUAAAUAAGUUCUAUAUAGGUGUUCAAUAUUACUACUUGAGCAAUGAAAAUGUAAUGGUGUUCUGUCAUUUAUCACAGAUACCUUAUUGAAUGCAAGAAUGAAGUGCGAGAGACAGAAGUCCAAAUGCUCAGUCCAUGUUUCUCUUCAAGGCUGUUUUUCAGUUUAGAAGUCUUUGGGCUCACUACUAACUAGGGUACCUUUUUUGAUUAAGUAAGAAACUCAAGUUGUAUAAUUGUGCCUUUAAAAAUGUAAAAAUCUCUAAAUAGGGCGUGUUGAGUCCUGUCUGUGACCCAAAAAUUACACUUAAAUCAUAAUGGACAAACAAUGGUGGUCCGGACGAUUUCUAUUUCAGCCCCCAUUUUAGAGAAGUGUGAUGCGCAAAUAUUAAGGGCUUCGCUGAGCUAUUUGAAUGUACCUGAUGCCAUGUCAAAAGUGAAUGAAGUGGAACCACCUAUGUAUAUCCUCCUUGCAAUUAAUUAACCUCAUGUUUCGAGUUUAUUUGAUCAAUUCAUUUCUUACUUCGAAUGACACCUAAGUGACAGCCAAGGGACAAGGGGUGAUUCUUUCCAUCUCUUUUUCUGAUCUGUGUGUAAUAUGGUACCAGUAGUGCCCCAUCUCAGAUAUCAUGAUAUAUUAGCACCAUUUUUAUUUAACUCAACCAGCAGCCUUACUUCUGUUAAGUGUUUUAAUCAUGAAAAAGUGUUAUGAAAGAUCAAUCAUCCUAAAAAAAAUUUUAUUAACUUAGUUUUUUUUCUUUAUUAGUGCUGUGAGACAUCAUGAUUCCUAAAAAUUUUCAUGUUCACUUUUAAGUAGUUUUGUUCGAGAAAUUUCUUGGCUAUCAAUCUUUCGCUUACACAUUGGCAACUUAAUAAUUUAAAGGAACUUUGUGAUGUACCAUGUGCCUCCUACUUGAAUGGAGUAUUUUAGAUGUUUUUAAUUUUUUACUUUUUGUAAUUUUUUCUUCUUCUUUUAAAAAACCACUGUUUCUAGAAGUUUUUACCUGUGAAUAAAAAAUUGAUCUCAAUUUGUUGUAUUUGCUUCUUCUCAUAAGUAGUAAGUAGAGAAAGCACAUCAAACGAUGAACUCCCAAAGCAUGUUUCUCCGUUUUAAAAUGUUGCAGACUUCCUGUAAUACUCAAUUCUUUAAAUGCAGAACUAGUCAUCGUCAACUCUCAAAACCAGCAGUGAUUUUUCUACUAUACGAAAAUUAUUUUGUGGAUAGUGUUGGUAGCUAGAAACAAGUCUGAAAAUAUUAAUGCUCAAAUGAUUUUAUUCCUUGUGAAACAGCAUUAAAUUUAAGAGAAGGAUUAACAUUAUAUAAGAAACAAAACUGUUUAAAAAUACAAAAGACAAAUUUGAAAAAAAAAAUCAAUAAGUGAUUAAACAAUAAAGAGGAAUAAUACGAAAUGCUCACGUAAAUAAAUGAACUGAGAGUAAUCUUUUCAUGGAAUUCAGACAGGUACGAAGACAACGAAAGAAUAACUUAAGCAAAGUACAAAAUUUCUGAGGUCUUCGAAUGCAACAAAAAGGAAACAGGGUUUGGUGAGCAGGAAAGAUGGGUUUAGAAUACCUCAAAAAUAAGAAUUUAAAUAGGUACUUGACUUCUCAAAAACAAAUAAUAAGUCCCUUUAUGUUUUUCUUUUAACUUCAAAACUUAAAAGAAAAAAAAUGUUAAGCUGAGACUCGAUAUGCAGGAAUUUGUAACAAAGACGGUUCCUUCUUCUAUAAUCAAAUUAAAAUUCAUGGAGCUUUAAACUAAUACGGUAAAAAAAGAUGCACAUCAUCCUACUGUUUUGACAUUUUUUUUUCUUAAACAAAUUUGCUAUUUUUUUUCUUUUUAAUUUUUAUUUUUGGAAUCCCCAAUAUCUCCUUGGGUUCAGGAGAUGUUUUUUUUUUACUUUUUUUUUUAAAAAAAAAGUUUCACAUUGUUAGUUUACUGGUUUUUUCCCAUUUCACUUUAAUGGUCUAAGCAGAUCUUACAGAUUAGAAAUUUUAGACACUAUCGACUGAUACAAAAAUAGGACAGCGUAUAACGGAGUGUGACAGAAAAAACGGAAUUAGUCGUAGACUUUGGAAAAGGCAAAAGGAAGAAAAUGAAUAUUUCAAUAAAAAUACUGUGGGAAAAAUCUAAUGGAGGAAUAAUCGUGACACCAAAGCUAUGAUGUAAGAAGAAACUGAAAAUAGAGGGGAAAACCCAGAGUAAACUUCAUAAGAGGGGAAAAAUAAAGUUUCUUUUUUUCUUCAUCUUUUGUCCAUUUUUCCUUUUUUUUUCAUUUUAAAUUUUUCUUUUUUUUUCUUACUUUAUAAUUUU
RNAcentral lists this long non-coding RNA (6530 nucleotides) under Bemisia tabaci. Its description in RNAcentral is "lncRNA ENSSSA1NGG003071". The record is from RNAcentral. Lineage: Eukaryota; Metazoa; Arthropoda; Insecta; Hemiptera; Aleyrodidae.